AUGCCCAAACUCCCUAGCGUCACAAACCUAACCUUAAAAUAUUACUCAAAAAAUAGCCACUGCUUUGAAGCAUGUGUGACCACUCUCCUGGCUCGAUGCAGCAACCUCCGGCAUCUCCGCCUAGACAACUUUAUCCACCAGUAUGGUCCUCCUUGUGAUGUGGGGUGUAGCACCUGCGACCUCCGUGGGAGCUGGAAAGACAAUGUGAUCUCGUUGGACCACCUCCAAGAGGUGGAGUUCAGUGGCUUCUCUGGGCAGGAGUACUGCCUCGACAUGGUGCAACUGCUGUUCACUAGCGCGCCCACAUUGGAGAGGAUGCUCUUGACCACACAUGUACCUAUAGAAGGUUGUUCACCUCCACCAACAAUUGCCAUGGAAUUGUUAGAGUUGAGGCUGCCACGUGGGAUGGGGAAGUGGACGGCUCACCCAUACGCUAACAUGACAAUGCUCGAGUGGAUACCCGCUUCAUCGACGAUGCUCGCCGGAGCAGUAGAUGCAUGA
This 501-nucleotide ribosomal RNA is filed under the name Triticum aestivum (bread wheat). RNAcentral's name for it is "partial small subunit ribosomal RNA". The record is from RNAcentral. Lineage: Eukaryota; Viridiplantae; Streptophyta; Magnoliopsida; Poales; Poaceae.